AGCGACGCAUACCGGAGGGGUAACCCACUGGUAUGACGGAGCGGCGAACGGGUGAGUAACACGUGAGUAACCUGCCCCACAGACCGGGACAGCCCAGGGAAACCUGGAUUAAUACCGGAUACCCUCGGGGGAUCGCAUGAUCUUUCGAGGAAAUGCCUUUGUGCUGUGGGAUGGACUCGCGACUUAUCAGCUAGUUGGUGGGGUAACGGCCUACCUAGGCGUCGACGAGUAGCUGGUCUGAGAGGACGAUCAGCCACACUGGGACUGAGACACGGCCCAGACUCCUACGGGAGGCAGCAGCAGGGAAUCUUGCGCAAUGGGCGAAAGCCUGACGCAGCAACGCCGCGUGGGGGAUGAAGGCCAUCGGGUUGUAAACCCCUUUCAGGAGGGAAGAAAUUGACGGUACCUCCAAAAGAAGCACCGGCCAACUACGUGCCAGCAGCCGCGGUAAUACGUAGGGUGCGAGCGUUAUCCGGAAUCAUUGGGCGUAAAGAGCUCGUAGGCGGUUCAGCAAGUCGGCUGUGAAAUUUCGAGGCUCAACCUCGAAACUGCAGUCGAAACUGCUGUGACUCGAGUCCGGUAGAGGAGAAUGGAAUUCCCGGUGUAGCGGUGAAAUGCGCAGAUAUCGGGAGGAACACCAGUAGCGAAGGCGGUUCUCUGGGCCGGCACUGACGCUGAGGAGCGAAAGCGUGGGUAGCAAACAGGAUUAGAUACCCUGGUAGUCCACGCCGUAAACGUUGGAUAU
This 745-nucleotide ribosomal RNA is filed under the name uncultured deep-sea bacterium. Its description in RNAcentral is "bacterial SSU rRNA". It matches the Rfam family "Bacterial small subunit ribosomal RNA", at positions 60 to 816 of the family's 1533-position model. The record is from RNAcentral.